GGUUCUAUGGUGUAAUGGUUAGCACUCUGGACUUUGAAUCCAGCGAUCCGAGUUCGAAUCUCGGUAGAACCU
Molecule: transfer RNA, 72 nt
Filed under: Varroa jacobsoni
Lineage: Eukaryota; Metazoa; Arthropoda; Arachnida; Mesostigmata; Varroidae
Also listed under: 2 other names
Description: tRNA-Gln
Rfam family: tRNA
About the family: Transfer RNA (tRNA) molecules are approximately 80 nucleotides in length. Their secondary structure includes four short double-helical elements and three loops (D, anti-codon, and T loops).
Source: RNAcentral